UCCCUGGAAGUCCAGUGGCUAGGACUCAGUGCUUUCAUUGCUGAGGGCUUGGGUUCAAUCCCUGGUCAGGGAA
This 73-nucleotide transfer RNA is filed under the name Bos taurus (domestic cattle). It matches the Rfam family "tRNA". Rfam says of the family: Transfer RNA (tRNA) molecules are approximately 80 nucleotides in length. Their secondary structure includes four short double-helical elements and three loops (D, anti-codon, and T loops). Lineage: Eukaryota; Metazoa; Chordata; Mammalia; Artiodactyla; Bovidae. RNAcentral also lists the same sequence under 3 other names. The record is from Rfam by way of RNAcentral.